RNAcentral lists this long non-coding RNA (217 nucleotides) under Salvia miltiorrhiza (redroot sage). Its description in RNAcentral is "long non-coding RNA (SMIL_LNC010221)". The record is from RNAcentral. Lineage: Eukaryota; Viridiplantae; Streptophyta; Magnoliopsida; Lamiales; Lamiaceae.
GAAAACAAAGAAGAAAAGUAAACGUUUAUUUAGCAUUAAAGAAAGGAGAUAUAUUCAAAAAAGAAUUAAAAAUAUUUUUAUUUUACGCUUAAUAAAAUAAUCCAACACAAAUAUAAUGUUUCAUUAUAAUUUAUUUUUUCAUCAAAAGAGAAGAUAAUAUAGAUAAAUUGUGUAGUAGAGAAGGAGUGAGAAAAAAAAGAUAAUAAUAACAAACAAC